GGGGCGUGAGAUCCAUGAGUGCUACAAGAUUGCCUAACACUUUCCUCACUUCGUGCUUUUCAGAGUAGUCGAAUGUGCCCCACCACUUGACCAACUUUUUGGGUACCUUGACAACCAUAAGGACUCUAGAUUUUGUGGACAGAUCCAUCCUGUAAUAACACAUAGGACAUUAACUUAAACAUUCAAUAAGACUGGAAAAGAUCCCCACCCAUGGGAUUAUGACGCAGACGUGUGUUGAAGGGACAGACCAUUAUAUGAGUCAAAUUUGCCGAACAGUAGCACUGAAUAAAAUCAGCCUACUUAGUAAGAACCCGCUAACAACACUAAAUUACACGGAGAAAAACCUAGGCUAAGACUAAGACAAAGGCCAAAAUAAAGAUUACCGGACCCACCGAGGGUUGCCUACGUACCCCCCGAGGGAUGGGAAUCAGGUAUGCGUAGUUCGUUCAGAUUGGACAAUUAAUGAUUAAAUAACAGAUUGCACCCUAACUUGAGACACGACCAAAGACACACAAUGAACAACAUAACAAUUUUUUUUUUGUGUUUUCAAUUUGACACUUCACAUAAAAAAACGACACCAACAACUAUGAAAGAAAAUCUUUUUUGUAUUUUCGUUAUAUGAAAUUUAUAAAACUUCUAUCACCUUUUUGCAUUCCUCUUUUAUAAAAAGCUCCUCUUAAAAGAAAUCUUUUUGAAAUUUCCAAAUUAUGGACGCUUACUAAAGAAACAAAGAAAAUUUUUUUUGAUGUUUUUGUUUUGAUAAAAUGAGUGUAAAAGGUACAAAAUCUUUUUGAAUUUUUGAAUUGUGAAAAACACAAGCCAUAAAGAACAUUAAAAGCUAUGAAACCUUUUUUGACUCACUUUCUUUGUUUCAAGCACACCUUACUUUUAACACAUUCUUUUCCCGAAUCAGUCCGUCAAAUGACCACAUUACCUUCAAAGAUGCAACAUUUAGCACAUGGGGAUGCUUUAAAGGUGAGUCUCCUACAAAGGACCGUGUGGGCCCCACUAGGUCUCAAUAUGAUGCACAUAAGAAUGACCUAAAGGCUGACCUACGUUGUGAUUUACUAACAAGGCCGUUCGGGGGAGCAUAUGGUCGAUAGUGGCUGCUUUACUUUCCACCUACUCCAUACAUCCAACAGCUCCCCCCUAAAAUAAGGAUGACUCAACUAGAGUUCGUGCGCAUGACGUGCACUCCGAGACUUGUUGCAGAAAGAAUUGACUCGGGUUAUGCAAAUGAUGCCAGAUAUAAAGCGGUAACACAUAUAGAAAAACUGUAAAAAAAGAGCACACAACAGUGAUAACAAUAACACAAACAAUAAUCACAAAUAAUUUUUAUACACCCAUAAUGCCAAACAAAGCCGAUACGACUCCAAAAAUAAGCCCAAAUUCUGAAAACUCCCCAGUAGAGUCGCCAGAGCUGUCACAUCCCUUUUUUAACUCCAAAAAAAGAUUAAUUUUAAGGUUCGAAAGGGUUUUUAUUAUUAAAGUGACAAAAAGAUGAAAAUUUUUGUUUCGAAAAGGAUUAUUUAAAUGUAAACUCAGAGUCACCACUUGGCAUAAUCGGGUGUACCAAGUCACCUUUGGAAAUCCUUUUCGAAAUGAUUUGACUCUUUAAAAAAAAACUGAUUUGCGAACCGAGAUUCCGACUAAGGAAUUUUGUUGACCGAGGGGAAGGUGUUAGGCACCCUCGAUCCCGUGGUUCGACCACGGUCGCUUGGUGGAGCAUAUUGGCUAAAUUUGAAACUAAAGAUGUAUAAACCACAUAAACACACGACAAUCAAGCAAAUGAACACAAACCAAAACAAACCCCAAAAAUACAAUGUUCAGUCUAAUUAUACAAUCCAAAAAUAAAAAAAUGUGUAAAUAAAUCCUAUCUAAUCCAUACUAAUCCUAACUAAGCUCCUAUGCUUUACCCGAUGCCUCGGGCCUUCAUCACGAACGUCCUCCGAGUACAAAAUACUUUGGGGCAUUUUCCGGAUAAAAUAAUACAAGUACUUCGGGGCAUUCCCUGGCCAAAUGAUACAAUUGAAUCAAGUACGAUAAACUAGAAAAUAUUCAACCAAUAUUCCAGAUUCAAACAUUCAACGAAAACUCUUAUUCAUAGGAAUUUUGCCUACCCGAACCUAUAUUCGCCUAUUUAUUUCAAUGUAUUGUGAUACUAUCAAUUCAAACAACAUUUAAUGAAUCAAAAUAAAUUAAUGAUUGCUUUUUAUCAAUUUCAAUUCCAAUCCCUACUUGUUUCAUUUUUUAUCAAUUACACCUGCAUAGUUACUCCGAUUCAUUUCAUAUAUCAACGAAAUCACAUCGUCAAAAAUAUAACAUCAUAACAUCAACAAAAAUCCAACAAUCACCACGAAUAAUCACAACCAAUUCAAAUAAUCGAAAAUAAAGAACGGGGAGACGGGUUAAAGAAAUGGACCUCGAUAGAACGUUCUUGUAUGAUAAUAAAGAAAUCCGAAGACCAAAAUACUCGAACGGAGAACCUCAACAGCGACAAACUCCGAUUUCGAUCACAAACUGAUCUUAAUAGACAGGUCAAUACGAAUGAAAAUCAAACCCAAAACCCGAAAUGAGAGUCAAUGAAUCCCGCAACCUGAUUUCGAAAACGAAUCACCAAGACAGACUAAACCAAGGCUUCAAUGGUCUAAUAGCUGCUAAAGAAAUUGUAUGACCUAAGCUCCGAUAAGUGAACAAAGACAAGACAACCAAAACAGUGAACAACGACCAGGUUUUGUCCAAAAAUCGAAGGAAAAUAAAAUGGUUUUUUGAGCGAUUUUGAGAAGAGGUCUAUCGAACAACGAGAAAGAAACCGAUAUGCGAACUCGAGGCUGAUUUCGGCGAACUUACCGGAGCUCUCAACCCAGAAUCUCUCUCUCUGCUACUCCCUCUCUCUUUUGAUCUACUCUCUUCUUGCCAUCUCACUCUGUGUGUGUGCGGUUUUAGUGUAGAAGAACCGAAGGUUUCUUUUUUUUAUUUUCUGAUCUUUCUCUCUAUGGAGAAGAUGAUAUGAUGGUUAUGGUGAGAGUAAGAAAAAAUAAAAAAAGAAAGUGAAGGCGUGUCAAUGGUGGUUUUCAGGAAUGAAGAAGAAGAGCUCAAGAUUUCUUUUCUGUCUAUUCUCCUGAUACCCCCCUCUCCCUUUUGUUUCUAUAUGUAUUGUAUAUAUAAUAUUGUGUGGGUCAGUGGUCCCCCUUGCAAAAAACGUGACCUCCCCUUGUCUCUUUUUAAUUCCAAAGAAAGAAUAAUGAACCCCAGUGGGCCCACCCUCUCUUUUGUUCUCUAUAUGUAUAUGAUAAAUGAAAACAAAAUGGUCCCCUCCCUGCAUCUCUCUCUAUCUGUGUGUAUAUUUAUCUCAAAGAAAGCCCAAAAGGAAUCAUCCACGUGGGCCCCUUCCUCCCCUUUUCUUGGAAACUUCCUUUUUUUCAUUAUUUUUGUUUUGUUUUUUUUUACUUUUUAUUUCUUUGUGGACAAAAAAUGUGAAGAGGGGGAGGGGUCACGUGGGUAAGUAGGGUAGUGAUGAGGUGUCUUGUUUUGAUUGGAUAGGUUGUUAGAAUAAAAAUAAAAUUAGUUAGGGGUUGUUAUUUUUUGUCAUUUUAUGGAGGGAUGAUUACAUGAUUGAUGGUACAUGAUAAGAUGAGAUAAAAAUGGUAAAAAUGUUUUUUGGGAGGAACAAAAUUAGGUGUCUACACAAGUUUCAGUAACAUGAAAAUUUUAAGGUGGGACAUGAGACGAAGACAACAGGUUUGUUGGAUGAGUUUCAGUAACGUGGCAACUUUAAGGUGGGAAAUGAGAUGAAGAUAAUAGAUUUGUUAGAUGUUUAAAUAUGGCAUACUACUCUGAAUGAGGAAGUGCUCGAGGUCUCUAAGUUCCUUCUUUAUCUUGACAAUACCAGUGCUCAUUGUAGAAGGAAUAACGGUUAGGAUAUUACAAGGACCGUCAACGUUGGGGAAUUGAUUGACUCUUUAUAUUGAUAAUUGGAAACCAGGAUGAAG
This 3992-nucleotide long non-coding RNA is filed under the name Capsicum annuum. RNAcentral describes it as "long non-coding RNA (CANN_LNC006291)". The record is from RNAcentral. Lineage: Eukaryota; Viridiplantae; Streptophyta; Magnoliopsida; Solanales; Solanaceae.